UACGGAGGGAGCUAGCGUUGUUCGGAAUUACUGGGCGUAAAGCGCGCGUAGGCGGCUUUGUAAGUUAGAGGUGAAAGCCCGGGGCUCAACUCCGGAAUUGCCUUUAAGACUGCAUCGCUAGAAUCCGGGAGAGGUGAGUGGAAUUCCGAGUGUAGAGGUGAAAUUCGUAGAUAUUCGGAAGAACACCAGUGGCGAAGGCGGCUCACUGGACCGGUAUUGACGCUGAGGUGCGAAAGCGUGGGGAGCAAACAGG
Molecule: ribosomal RNA, 253 nt
Filed under: uncultured bacterium
Lineage: Bacteria
Description: partial 16S ribosomal RNA
Rfam family: Bacterial small subunit ribosomal RNA
Source: RNAcentral